Molecule: long non-coding RNA, 1223 nt
Filed under: Gopherus agassizii (Agassiz's desert tortoise)
Lineage: Eukaryota; Metazoa; Chordata; Testudines; Testudinidae
Description: lncRNA (ENSGAGG00000012491.1)
Source: RNAcentral
CUCCAAAGCCGGUUACGACAACUCACUAACCUUCCCGCCCACGUUGAAUGAGGCGCCAGGGCUGCCUAGGAAACAAGUCUGGCCGUGUGCGCUGGAAACUGAGUCCCGGGCGGGGGAAGGAGGGGACGCCUGCCAGCCAGCCAAGGGAGUGCCAUUCUCCUCCCCGCGCUGCCUGGGCGAGCUGCACUCGCCUCCGCUGCCACUCGCCUCCGGGCUCCGGAGCACACGGACCAGGCUGCAGGGAAGAGCGCUGCUGCCAGUUUAAAUCUACUGACAUAACUUUUAAAAGGAAAAAAUCCAGAAAGCCUUUUAGCAGGAAGACAAGAAAGUGCAUUAGCGAAGACACAGCCAGGACUCUUCUGCAGGUGGAGGUGACAUACAGAAGUUACUUUGCCUUUGGAAAGAAAAGACCCGUGUAGUAUUAAUUUACGUGUAUGUGCAUUAUCCCCCUUCCUCCCCCUAGAAGUUGUCUGGGCUGCAAAGCAGCGGGGAAGCAGCGGCUGCUUAUCUCGGGCAACAGAAGAUUAUGGUGGCAGCACAACAGAAGCAGCCGCGGCAGCAGCAGCAGCAGCAGCAGCAGCAGAGUUGGUCCGUGAAUGUGUUUUCUGAUUAAAAUCAGCAUUGGAAAGUGCACCUGAAGAUUCAGCAGCUAGGCAGGAAUUGAUAAAAGAGGGAAACAUUUUAAGGGGGGAAAAGGGAGGGCGGCACUAGGUUUUGUGUGUGCCUGUGGGAGUGGGGGUUGGUUAUCAUGGCGGAUCGGACAGCUCCUAGAUGCCAGCUCCGUCUGGAAUGGGUUUACGGGUACAGGGGUCACCAGUGCCGCAAUAAUCUGUACUACACGGCAGGCAAGGAGGUGGUUUACUUCGUGGCUGGAGUCGGGGUGAUUUAUAACACCAGAGAGCACACCCAGAAAUUCUUCUUGGGACACAACGAUGAUAUUAUCAGGUAAGGGAGAGGACACAAUUGGUGUGGUGGGAUUAAUAGGGAGGGGUGGGGAGAGGAGAACUAGUAAGUACCUCCUCCUGUACUCACCUCAGAGCAUGUUUCUGUAAUUUUAGGGAGAAGCACAGGUUCUCAUCAAAGGUUUGGGUGAAAUUUGGAUCUGUCUGGAUCCUGCUGAUUUUUUUUUUACGGAAGCCCCCAAAUUUUAACUCAGAAUAGAAAACGAGUUUAGCCUUUCCUACUGCACCACAAACAAAUAAAUGAAAAAAAACACCAAAUCA